UCCGUUGGUGAACCAGCGGAGGGAUCAUUACUGAGUUUACGCUCUAUAACCCUUUGUGAACAUACCUAUAACUGUUGCUUCGGCGGGUAGGGUCUCCGCGACCCUCCCGGCCUCCCGCCCCCGGGCGGGUCGGCGCCCGCCGGAGGAUAACCAAACUCUGAUUUAACGACGUUUCUUCUGAGUGGUACAAGCAAAUAAUCAAAACUUUUAACAACGGAUCUCUUGGUUCUGGCAUCGAUGAAGAACGCAGCGAAAUGCGAUAAGUAAUGUGAAUUGCAGAAUUCAGUGAAUCAUCGAAUCUUUGAACGCACAUUGCGCCCGCCAGCAUUCUGGCGGGCAUGCCUGUUCGAGCGUCAUUUCAACCCUCAAGCUCUGCUUGGUGUUGGGGCCCUACAGCUGAUGUAGGCCCUCAAAGGUAGUGGCGGACCCUCCCGGAGCCUCCUUUGCGUAGUAACUUUACGUCUCGCACUGGGAUCCGGAGGGGCUCUUGCCGUAAAACCCCCCAAUUUUCCAAAGGUUGACCUCGGAUCAGGUAGGAAUACCCGCUGAACUUA
Molecule: ribosomal RNA, 554 nt
Filed under: Colletotrichum nupharicola
Lineage: Eukaryota; Fungi; Ascomycota; Sordariomycetes; Glomerellales; Glomerellaceae
Description: eukaryotic LSU rRNA
Rfam family: 5.8S ribosomal RNA (bases 203-356)
Source: RNAcentral